This 5609-nucleotide long non-coding RNA is filed under the name Homo sapiens (human). RNAcentral describes it as "HSALNT0201911". Lineage: Eukaryota; Metazoa; Chordata; Mammalia; Primates; Hominidae. The record is from RNAcentral.
CAGGCGUGAGCCACCGCGCCCAUCCUCUUCAGAUUUUUUAAUGCUGGCCUUGAAUUGGUUUUCCCGUUUUCUUCUCUCUGUUUUGAUUCCCUUCAUUCUUUAGUGUUUGGUCUCUGUGGAACAAGAGUUGUUCAUUCUGACUAUCCCAGACCUUGCAUCAGCCCUCCCAUGGCUUGAUGUUCCUGUUGUUUUCUUGAGCUCUCGAGUGAUCCGUUCUUGAGUGAGCUAUGACUUUGUCUCUUUCGUGCUUUUCCCUAGUAUUUGAAUCCUUUUAAUUAAGGUGUUUAUUGGAAAGGAUACUUUAAUAGUACUUUUUGUUUUUGUAACGCAAGUUUAUUAUGCUAAUGCUUUCAAACCAAUGUGUUCAAUAGAGAUGAAAAAAGAAAACUAAUUCCUCCAUAAGCAUGUUUAUUUUUUUUUCCUCACCUAAGACAAAGCUAAUGCUCUAAAAGGUUGUGAGUCUCCUUACUUAUGUCUUUACCCUUGGACAAGGUAAAACAAGUUAUAAUGGAGGGUGUUGUGGGUGUGACUGAUGUUUAUUAGUCCCUAGCAAAUUAGUAGAUGUUUUGUCUCCUGAUACCUCUGGCUUUGAUUCAUGUUUGCUCACUACAGAGGGGCCUCAUGGACUUUCAGGAUGGCACUCAUUCAUCGGAGAAAGCAUUGGAGAUUAGUACAUAAAUCUGUUGUAUUUAUUUUAUCAUUUGUUUGGUUUAAAACAUACUUUUCCUGAGGGAUAAAACGUCCUCCCUUUUUUCUGUGUUCUAAUUGGCAUCAGCUUCCGUGUAUUUCAAGGCAGCUGCUUAGUGAGGAAGCGCAGGGGGCGCUGAAGUCCAAACACACCCUCGCCUGCUCCCUGACUCCUCCACAAUAGAAGAGAGCAAUGACCAGUAGUUGGAGGCACUUUACUUUUUUAUAAAAUAAACUAAUGUAAACCCAGCUUUGGACACAUUGAAUAAUGACCCUUUUUCAGGCUCCAAAUGAACUGUCUGUUUAAACAGCUGGAUAUGUCAGGGAAAAAAAUCAAGUUUUAACUUUUAUUAGAUCUCUCCUGUUUAGUUCACACCAACUAUAUGUGUCUGUCAUGAUGAGAGUGCUUUAUACAGGGUGUGAGUGAGUAGUUACCUUUCUUCCUGCUGGAACAUUGGAGAGGACCGGGGCCCAGUGGCUGAGAGCUAAGGUCAGAGUUAGGCAGAGCUAGGUCUGAAGGCCACUUCUUCCACUUAGCCCCAAGCCUCAGUUUCCCCUCUGUGAAACAAGGAUAAUAAUACUAUAUACGUCACACUCACGGGACUAUAAGAGGCCACCUAUGGAGAAUAAUUAGCUGGGUGCUUGAUGCAAAACAAGCAUCAACCAACAAUAGCCACAAUGAUAUAGUUACCAUGUUUUUCAGUUUGAGUUCCCAGGUGGAUACCACUGAUAUUAGAUAACACUGAUAUUACACACCACUGGUAUCUGUAGAUACCACUGUGGUUAGCUAACAGUGAAUGUAGACACGACAGUGCUUCAUCAGGUAGACAUCAGACUUGGAACAUGCCUCCAUCUUUCUCCAACCAGAACCCCUGCGAGGGGGAAACAGAGCAAGUUAAAAUACUGCAAAGCUUUGCAUUUAGAAACCGGAAAACAGAUGCACAGAGCAGUCUGCCUCUGUGUAAAUGCACAUUGUAAUCAGUUUUCUAACGCUGCCUUUACAAGGAUGAGUUAAGUGGUUCGUUGACAUAUCAUUAUCACAUUCUGAAGAUAAACAGCCACAGGAUCUAUGAACUCUCAUCAGGCAGUUAAUUAUUCUUGAAUUUUUCUGCACUCUUGAAACAUAUUCUAUUUAUUUAACCGUCCCCUGGGAGCCCUGGUCGCCUUUGUCCCUGCCACACGGCCAGUGGUGUAAAACCUCUGCAUCUGUCAGAUUUCUCCAUGUGGAGCGUAAUUGCCUGAUUUCCAUUUGAAAGUACAGCCCUGACAUUAAAAUGACAUAGACCCACCAAUGAUAACAAUGGCUUCCUGACACCUACCAGAGGAGAGGGGGCGAGGGGGCAUAAUGCAGGAAUAAAUAAGUGCAUGAAUGAACGCUCGCCUUCACGGGGCCAGGUCUGAAUUUACAGCUGCAGAUGAAGUGUUCCUUGGGAGCAAACAAAAAGAAAGAAUGAAAGAAUAAAAGAAAAAGAAACCAAUAGAUUAGCAUCCGCGUGAGUCUGUUGGAGCCAGAUGGCUCUCUGUGGAGAGCGAGCUGGCCUGCUUUCUCCCAGUAACCCUGACCAGCAGACAGCAAGCCCGCUACACGGGGAGAGAAAUGAUCUCAUUCCUCAGCCGGGCACGUGAGCCGCCUUCUUUCUCUCACACACAACUCGAGCUGAAGGGGAGUUGGAAAAGAGAGAAAGGGUGAAAAAGAAAGGGCGGGGGAGAACGGGUGAUUGUAAAGAACAAGCAGGUCCUCGUAGCCCAGAGGAAGAGUGAGACUCCAGGCCUUGGCCAGCCCUGAGCGUCCAAGAACUGUCUCCAGAUGUCCACGAAGGAGAAGACAGGGAGACAGAGGGGACACCCGACACAUUGUUGUCUCCUCCACACACAUCCGUGAACUUCACCUCCACGAUCCAAUGUUGCCUGGAAGGCUUGAUGUGGAGAGGCUGAGAGGAGGGGCGCAGGCUGCUGUAGAGGCCAUGGGAUUAAGUUCUGUGCCCCACUGGAAAGGGGCAGUGAACAAUGUUUUCAAUUCUUCCUAAUGACAAUGUCUGCCUGUCUCUGUGGGCCACAGGCGAAUGAGUCUGUCAGUCCUCAGCCUGCAGGACCAGCCAUCUGCUGGGAUCCUGGUCUGCCAUGCUCCUGAACAGGUGCCUGAGAUGGAGGCAGCUGGAGUAAGGGGGCAGUCAAAUGAAACUGACAGGUUGUAGGUGUGGGAGGGCUCCUAUCCUUGAAGAUUCUGAGGCUGAGAGGGGCUUGGUCUGGGGUCAUUCUGCCUGCUCUGCUGAGCAAAGCAUUCACUGCUUGUAAACAAGUCUGUUGUCUGGAGUGACAGCCACACGUGGGGGUUGGUGGACAUCAGACAGACCACCAGAUGCUGGUGUUAGAGCCUAGCACUUGCAGAUGUGUGCAGAGGUGCAGGCCUCCUUCAAGUGAAUCUGCCCUCUUAGUGAGUGUUCACACACCCAGCUUGGUACCAGGGCUCCUGAGGCCUCCAACCCAGAGAAGCAGACUAAGAGAGAAUGAAGGUGCCCGUGCGAGUGAGUGCUGGGGGCUCACAGAGCACUUCAUCAGCCUGGCUAGGUUGCUUGGGCACCUGAAGCUUGUCUCCAGCAGUGUUUACUCAAAAGAAUAAAUAGUUUCCAGGGUGACACCAAAUGCGGGGAGAUGUAGUCAUUCCUUUAAAGCUGGAAACUAUUAUUUUACUCCUAAUAAAUAUUGAGCAAAAUUCUCUUCAUUUUCAGCCCAGGAUGAGAGCACCUGCUUCACAAUUCCUGGCAGUUGUCGGUACAAAUGAACAUUAAGCUGGCAUAUUCUAUCAGGGCCAAGGAAGCAAAGCAAGCUGCCAGCUGGGGGCUAAAACCACAGGCUCUGGCUUUUCUUCUUUCUAAAAAUGAAACAGAAAGCCACCACCCCACCAACUGUUUUGCUCUUUAUCUCCCAGGCAAUGCUACCACAUAACAGGGUUCCUCGUUCUGUAUGGGAUUCUCACUCACAGCAGAGCUAAGGAUUUCAAAGGAAACCGUAUCACUAAAGUAACAAGAGCGUGAGCUCCAACAUCGUUCCUUGCCUCCACUUAAGCAGGGAGAUCAGUCACUCAAUAGGAGCAUUUAAGAAAAUUUUAAAAUGCUAGCAUUUAAGGAGCACUUACCAAAGUGUCGGCCCUGCCUCUAAGCGUUUUGUGGACAUCUCAGGUAAUCUUCAUGACAACCCUAUGCAGCAGGUUCUCUGAUUACCCUUAUUUUACAAAUAGGAUGCCAAGUCCCAGAGAUGUUAAGCAACUUUGCCAAAGUUGCACAGCUAGUCCCGGGUCCAUACCACCAGGCUUUCCCACCUCUUUUGAUGGUGUAAUAACUGAGCUUUAGGCUCCCUAUUUUGGCUGCUCACCAGUGGUGCCAUCUUGGGCUACUAAGUCUCCCUGAGUUCCCAUUUCCUUGUCUGUCAAGUAAGGACUGGAAUAGUGGUCUUAUAGGGUUGCUGUCAGGAGCAGAAGUAAUGUGUAACAUACAUGCAUGCAGGGCCAGUGCCCGGCACAUGUUUGAGGCUCCAUAAAUGUUAGUACAGAUGGUCCCCUGAUGGUUUGAUUUAACAGUUUUUCAACUCUACAGUGGGUUUGUUGGGAAGUAAUCCUGUCGUGUGUCAAGGAGCAUCUGAGUUAAGCUAGUUUGAUUUACAGUUUCAACUUUACCAUGGGUUUAUCAGGAUAUAAACAUUUUAUCAGGAUAUAAACCUGAUGCAUUUUUGUAUUUUCAGCUUACAAUGGGUUUAUCUGGACAGAACCCUCAUCGUAAGUGGAGGAGCAUCUGUGGUUAUUACUACUGUAAGCAUUGUCAUUAUCUUUGUGCUCUUAGAUUUCACUGAAUUCUCACACGCACACAUGCACACAUAAAACUAUGAGGUAGGUGGGGCAGCUGUCACUAACCCCAUUUUAUAGCUGGUGUAUCAGGUGGUAAAGCUUGGGCAAGAACCCCCAUCUCUUGACUCUGCACUUUGUCUAAUCUGAGCUUGCUGUUUCCCGCUGGACUGCAGGUCACACCUGUCCAUUUCUAGACACCAAACACAGUUGCUGUCUAGAAAGAUUGCAGCAAGGAAUUCAACCCUUGUCACUUUCCCUUUGUCUCCAGGCCCUGGGAUUGGCUGAAGACAGAGCCAGGUCCUGCCUGUGCCCUCCUGGGAAUUGCUGAGACAGUUAAUGCCUCUUGGGACAAGUAAGAGUGAACAGAGAACAGACAGAAAGGACAAUCAGCUAGGACUGUGCUGAGAAAAUGAACUGAAACAGCACAGUGAAAGUUGGACAAGCCAAACCUGACUCCAUCAAUUUGGGUUGAUGCCUCUGACAAUUCAAACAAGACUUGGUCAGCGCAGAACUGCAAGGCUGUCUUGGAAUUUUCACACAUAUAUGUUUGACAUUCUACUCCAAUUCAGUUCCACAAUCCAGAUGCUGGAAGAAUUUUGUUUACUUGAGAUGGAUUCUCGUCCAUCAUCUUUCGCUCCCACAAAACCAUUGUUCACAACCCCCAAGGACUGCCUAUGAGUACCAUCAUUUUGUUACAGUUAAUGCUCAUUGUUGUGCACAGUUGGGAAAUGUAGCCUUCUGGUUAAUUACAUUUUCCAAUUAAUAGAAAUUACAAGGUACAUCUUCCAUGUGUUGCUGACAUCUAGACACCUGGGAUACUCUAAGCACCAAAGCUAACUUGAACAAGUUUAGUCUUUCUUGGAAAAUUUAGAGGAAACUUCAGGACUCAUGGAACAUCAAGGGUACCAAAGUGUGUUGUAGAUGUGGGUAGUAUAAGAUAAUUGGGAUUUUCAUUUGGUACAAUGUAAAAGUGGUUUGGGGGUAUGUAAUAGCACAAGUCACAUGGGAAAUAAGGGUACCAUGUGAAGCACAUUAUAUCUUUUUAAAAUUAUCCUCCUCAGUAUUAUUAAGUGUUUAAAUG